AAAGAUCGAUAUCGAGGAGGGCACGACGCCCCGGAGACACCCCUGCUUAGUCAGGCAGUCUGUACCGCGUACAGCCUGAAACUCCCUAAACCUCAACAAUCAGCCACUCCGGCGUGAAGGUAUCGUUCU
RNAcentral lists this non-coding RNA (129 nucleotides) under Escherichia albertii TW08933. RNAcentral's name for it is "EFASI RNA". It matches the Rfam family "EFASI RNA". The record is from Rfam by way of RNAcentral. Lineage: Bacteria; Pseudomonadati; Pseudomonadota; Gammaproteobacteria; Enterobacterales; Enterobacteriaceae.